Molecule: ribosomal RNA, 48 nt
Filed under: Fusarium oxysporum
Lineage: Eukaryota; Fungi; Ascomycota; Sordariomycetes; Hypocreales; Nectriaceae
Also listed under: 34 other names
Description: partial 28S ribosomal RNA
Source: RNAcentral
UUGACCUCGGAUCAGGUAGGAAUACCCGCUGAACUUAAGCAUAUCAAU